GUAGGUGGGCAAGCGUUGUCCGGAAUUAUUGGGCGUAAAGCGCGCGCAGGGCGGUCCUUUAAGUCUGAUGUGAAAGCCCACGGCCCAACCGUGGAGGGUCAUUGGAAACUGGGGGACUUGAGUACAGAAGAGGAAAGCGGAAUUCCAAGUGUAGCGGUGAAAUGCGUAGAGAUUUGGAGGAACACCAGUGGCGAAGGCGGCUUUCUGGUCUGUAACUGACGCUGAGGCGCGAAAGCGUGGGGAGCAAACAGGAUUAGAUACCCUGGUAGUCCACGCCGUAAACGAUGAGUGCUAAGUGUUAGGGGGUUUCCGCCCCUUAGUGCUGCAGCUAACGCAUUAAGCACUCCGCCUGGGGAGUACGGCCGCAAAGGCUG
This 374-nucleotide ribosomal RNA is filed under the name uncultured organism. Its description in RNAcentral is "partial 16S ribosomal RNA". It matches the Rfam family "Bacterial small subunit ribosomal RNA", at positions 526 to 896 of the family's 1533-position model. The record is from RNAcentral.